UUCUUUUAAGAUUUUUUUAAAAGUAAAGCCUGCCCACUGAUUAAUUAAAGGGCCGCGGUAUUUUGACCGUGCUAAGGUAGCAUAAUCAUUAGUCUCUUAAUUAGGGAAUAGUAUGAAUGGUUAAACUGUUGUUUGUUUUUAAUUUUUAAUUUUUUUGAAGUUAAAUUUGAAGUGAAAAUGCUUUAUUAUACUAUUAGGACGAUAAGACCCUAUAGAGUUUUAUACCUUUAUGUUACCUGAGUCUUGGGGGGGAGUUAGGUGAUAUCUGGGUAUUUAAUUGGGGCAAUUUUUGAAUAAUAAAAACUUCUAAUAAGUUGUAUAAUUUAUUAUUUAAUCUUAAACUUUAACAAGUAAAAAGUUACCUUAGGGAUAACAGCGUAAUUAUUUUUGAGAGCUCUGAUCGACAAAAUUGUUUGCGACCUCGAUGUUGAAUUAAGAAGUCUUGUAGGGGCAGCUUUUUACCAAGAAAGUCUGUUCGACUAAUAAAUUCUU
RNAcentral lists this ribosomal RNA (492 nucleotides) under Dicranocentrus wangi. RNAcentral's name for it is "partial 16S ribosomal RNA". It matches the Rfam family "Bacterial large subunit ribosomal RNA", at positions 1829 to 2597 of the family's 2925-position model. Lineage: Eukaryota; Metazoa; Arthropoda; Collembola; Entomobryomorpha; Entomobryidae. The record is from RNAcentral.